AUUGAACGCUGGCGGCAGGCCUAACACAUGCAAGUCGAGCGGCUGCACGGUGAUUGCUUCUGGAUUCAGCGGCGGACGGGUGAGUGAUGCCUAGGAAUCUCCCUGUUUAUGGGUGAUAACGUCCGAAAACGGGCGCUCAUACCCCAAUCCUGCAGACGGCGUACGGGUGAGAUCAUCGGAUCUCCCGCCCUCGCGUGAGCCUAGGUCGGAUUAGCUAGUUGGUGGGGUAAAGGCCUACCAAGGCGACGAUCCGUAACUGGUCUGAGAGGAUGAUCAGUCACACUGGAACUGAGACACGGUCCAGACUCCUACGGGAGGCGGCAGUGGGGAAUAUUGGACAAUGGGCGAAAGCCUGAUCCAGCCAUGCCGCGUGUGUGAAGAAGGUCUUCGGAUUGUAAAGCCCUUUUAGUGGGGAAGAAGAGCAGUAAGUUAAUACCUUGCUGUUUUGACGGUACCAAAAGAAUAAGCACCGGCUAACUUCGUG
Molecule: ribosomal RNA, 484 nt
Filed under: uncultured bacterium
Lineage: Bacteria
Description: partial 16S ribosomal RNA
Rfam family: Bacterial small subunit ribosomal RNA
Source: RNAcentral